This 233-nucleotide ribosomal RNA is filed under the name uncultured bacterium. Its description in RNAcentral is "partial 16S ribosomal RNA". It matches the Rfam family "Bacterial small subunit ribosomal RNA", at positions 15 to 240 of the family's 1533-position model. The record is from RNAcentral.
GAUCCUGGCUCAAGAUGAACGCUAGCGGCAGGCUUGACACAUGCAAGUCGAGGGGCAGCAUAAUGGAUAGCAAUAUCUAUGGUGGCGACCGGCGCACGGGUGCGUAACGCGUAUGCAACCUACCUUUAACAGGGGGGAUAACACUGAGAAAUUGGUACUAAUACCCCAUAAUAUCAUAGAAGGCAUCUUUUAUGGUUGAAAAUUCCGAUGGUUAGAGAUGGGCAUGCGUUGUA